Molecule: ribosomal RNA, 242 nt
Filed under: uncultured bacterium
Lineage: Bacteria
Description: partial 16S ribosomal RNA
Rfam family: Bacterial small subunit ribosomal RNA
Source: RNAcentral
AGUAAUGUGUAGAGAAUCUGCCCUGUACUGGGGGACAACAGAGGGAAACUUCUGCUAAUACCCCAUAUGAGCGUACCUGCGAUGGUAUUCUUGAAAGUUCCGGCGGUACAGGAUGAGUCUGCAUCUGAUUAGCUAGUUGGUGGUGUAAUGGACUACCAAGGCGACGAUCAGUAGCCGGACUGAGAGGUUGGCCGGCCACAUUGGGACUGAGACACGGCCCAGACUCCUACGGAAGGCAGCAG